GACGAACGCUGGCGGCGUGCUUAACACAUGCAAGUCGAACGGAAAGGCCCUGCUUUUGUGGGGUGCUCGAGUGGCGAACGGGUGAGUAACACGUGAGUAACCUGCCCUUGACUUUGGGAUAACUUCAGGAAACUGGGGCUAAUACCGGAUAGGAGCUCCUGCUGCAUGGUGGGGGUUGGAAAGUUUCGGCGGUUGGGGAUGGACUGGCGGCUUAUCAGCUUGUUGGUGGGGUAGUUGCUUACCAAGGCUUUGACGGGUAGCCGGCCUGAGAGGGUGACCGGGCACAUUGGGACUGAGGGACGGCGCAGACGGCUACGGGAGGCAGCAGGGGGAAAUAUGGCACAAUGGGGGGACGCCUGAUACAGCAACGCCGCGUGCGGGAUGACGGGUUUUGGGUUGUAAACCGCUUUCGCCGGUGACGAAGCGUGAGUGACGGUAAUGGGUAAAGAAGCACCGGCUAACUACGUG
This 468-nucleotide ribosomal RNA is filed under the name uncultured bacterium. Its description in RNAcentral is "partial 16S ribosomal RNA". It matches the Rfam family "Bacterial small subunit ribosomal RNA", at positions 28 to 507 of the family's 1533-position model. The record is from RNAcentral.